RNAcentral lists this transfer RNA (82 nucleotides) under Chloroflexota bacterium. RNAcentral's name for it is "Chloroflexi bacterium tRNA-Leu". It matches the Rfam family "tRNA". Rfam says of the family: Transfer RNA (tRNA) molecules are approximately 80 nucleotides in length. RNAcentral also lists the same sequence under 1 other name. The record is from RNAcentral. Lineage: Bacteria; Bacillati; Chloroflexota.
GCCGAGCUGGCGGAAUGGUAGACGCGGUGGUCUUAAAAACCACUGGGGCCUCCCCGUCCGGGUUCGAAUCCCGGGCUCGGCA